Molecule: ribosomal RNA, 531 nt
Filed under: Alternaria tenuissima
Lineage: Eukaryota; Fungi; Ascomycota; Dothideomycetes; Pleosporales; Pleosporaceae
Also listed under: 1 other name
Description: eukaryotic LSU rRNA
Rfam family: 5.8S ribosomal RNA (bases 167-320)
Source: RNAcentral
GGGCUACAUAUGAUGGCGGGCUGGACCUCUCGGGGUUACAGCCUUGCUGAAUUAUUCACCCUUGUCUUUUGCGUACUUCUUGUUUCCUUGGUGGGUUCGCCCACCACUAGGACAAACAUAAACCUUUUGUAAUUGCAAUCAGCGUCAGUAACAAAUUAAUAAUUACAACUUUCAACAACGGAUCUCUUGGUUCUGGCAUCGAUGAAGAACGCAGCGAAAUGCGAUAAGUAGUGUGAAUUGCAGAAUUCAGUGAAUCAUCGAAUCUUUGAACGCACAUUGCGCCCUUUGGUAUUCCAAAGGGCAUGCCUGUUCGAGCGUCAUUUGUACCCUCAAGCUUUGCUUGGUGUUGGGCGUCUUGUCUCUAGCUUUGCUGGAGACUCGCCUUAAAGUAAUUGGCAGCCGGCCUACUGGUUUCGGAGCGCAGCACAAGUCGCACUCUCUAUCAGCAAAGGUCUAGCAUCCAUUAAGCCUUUUUUUCAACUUUUGACCUCGGAUCAGGUAGGGAUACCCGCUGAACUUAAGCAUAUCAAA